UACGUAGGGGGCAAGCGUUGUCCGGAUUCAUUGGGCGUAAAGAGCGUGUAGGCGGCCAGGUAGGUCGGUUGUGAAAACUGGAGGCUCAACCUUCAGACGUCGACCGAAACCAUCUGGCUAGAGUCCGGGAGAGGAGAGUGGAAUUCCUGGUGUAGCGGUGAAAUGCGUAGAUAUUGGGAGGAACACCAGUGGCGAAGGCGGCUCACUGGACCGGUACUGACGCUGAUGCGCGAAAGCGUGGGGAGCAAACGGG
This 253-nucleotide ribosomal RNA is filed under the name uncultured prokaryote. RNAcentral describes it as "partial 16S ribosomal RNA". It matches the Rfam family "Bacterial small subunit ribosomal RNA", at positions 524 to 776 of the family's 1533-position model. The record is from RNAcentral.